UGAGAGGUUAAACAUCUUCAAGAAACCUAUAAAGGUCCAGACGCUUUUCUGUCCAAGCUCCUUAGACUACAUUGACCUGGAUGACUGAGAACCUUCACAGACUUCUUCUACAAGUGAUAAAUAUUCCCCUGGUUUAACUCUGAUGUUACUAGAAGCCCAAUCUGUUUUGCUCUCCUUCAGUUUAACUUUUUGGUCUUCUAAUUUGGUCCCUUUCAUUUUCAUUCUACAAAUUCCUUUUUACUUUUGUUAUCUUGAGCCGUUGCUGCGCUAAAUUGAAGUGCUUGUAGUUGAAGUGUAUCUCCACUAGAGGUGCUCUUCUCUCCUCAGAGCUUCAGCUGGGGGUGGAGCAACACCUUCUGGGGGCAGGGCUCUGUGAGACAGACAGCGAGCUCAGCCCAGUCACAGCAGAGCUCUAUGUUACCGCUGCAAUGUGGGGUAAUCACAAUGGGCCAGAGGAAGCCAAUGGGAAUGAGGCGAGUCUGCUGUUAGCCAAUCAGGAGAGAGGAGUGGCAGAGAGCAACAGUUCAGGGGAUUUGUCAUGUGACCACAAAAAGGAAGUGUCCAGUCCGGACUCUGUCUCCCGAUAGCCGCCUUUCAUCUCCUCGUCUCUCAGUAACCAACUUUCCCCCUCAUCUUUCUCACUGGUGUUCAUCACAUCCUAUUAACACUCUGCUUCACUCUUAUGCUACACCUAUAUGCAGUAUGAUUUGAUUUGGUAGCAGCUCUCACGCGCUUUCAUGCGCACACACAAAGCACAUAAAAGAUUUUAGCUGGAUGUACCAACUUUAAAAACUUUGGCUGUAAAAAUAAAGAUUAUAUUCAAGCACGUCUUUGUCCUACUUUCUCAAGACUGUUUUCAAACAUACGUUUAGGGUGAAACAUUUUUGCAUUUGGGGUUGAGUGUGGUUUUAAGCAACAGCACAUUUUUAUCCUUCCCCAACAAAAAAACAAAAAACAAAAUGUCUGAUGUCUUAUUCCUCCUUUAAAUGUGCCACAUGGGAUAGAGCAGAGCAGACUGAGACAACCAUUAAGAGAUUAAAGCAUUUAUAUCCGCAGCGACGUGACUAUCUGGAGAUCAGCAUCUGCACAUCACUGCAUUUACAUGUGGAGUUGUAAAGGAGUGCUUGGUUUAUGCAGCAUGAGUCCUGGUGUUUUUAAAUCCACAGACAGGAUGCACUGUGAGAGGAAGUGGCUUUACUAUCAUAGGUGGUUAAAUGCAUUGUUAUCUGGUGUAUCUUUGAAUCCUGCUUAAAACUACAUCCUGUCAAAAGUGGCAAAAGUUCAGGUUAGGCAGCUUAAAACUGAAAAAUUGAGUUUCCAGGUUUUCCAGAAAACCUGAAAUUUUGACUCAUGGAUGGAAAAAAAAAAGACUUUUUAUGUAAAUAUUUAGCACCUUAUAAUAAUGUCACACUAUUAAGAAUUAUAAGGUAUUAUAAAAACAGGUAUAUCAUUAUGACUAUGGUUAUUACUAGCAGUGAUGCCUUUACACGGUGUAACAGUAACAGAUGGAUAAACAAAUCUGUAUUUAUAAAUGGGAAUACUAAGGAGGACUAUGAUAACUGUAUGGUAGCAAGCGCUACCAAAUACUUUUGUGUGUUCAUUAUUUUUAUUUUUUGUCCUCCAGUUAAUGAGACUUAGGAGAAAAACUUGAAGGUCUUCACCAGUUACUGUGAUCUCACCAGGUUAACUCUUUCCUUGCACUUCUGAUUCAUGGACAUAAUGGCAAAAUUCAUAUUUUCCACUUUUAAAAAUCUAAGAAUUCCUAAGAGGUUGAUGGUGGAACAAAUCACUUCACCACUCACAAAAGCAGCCCUAAUGUGAGGCACACACAUCUUAGAGUUUCACACUUCAUUUGUGUUAUUAAUAAACAGUCCAUCGUUAGGUGGUUGCUAGGCUGUUUGUGAAGUAGUCAAAUAGUUAACGUCAUUACAUAUUGUGCAUAUAAAAGGCUUGUUGAUAUAAAGUGCAUGUUACAGUCAUGCAAUUAAAAUCAUAAUAUGCUUUUACAAGGUGUUAUAGGAGCACGAGCUACAAAUGUGUAAUUUUGGGAAGCAUGAUGAUGUCAUCAUAUGGGGUGGACGAUGUACCUGUGUGCCAGAUCAUGUAGGAGGAGUUUACAUACAGAUUUUUGUAUCAUUGUAAGACUUUUUUUUUUUUUUUUUUUUUAAAUGUAUUGAUUUUUUUGGAGGCACUGACCACAGUGUCUGUCAUGUUUUCAAAACCCGGUUUCUUGGUUACUGUUGCAGAAAAAGUACGUGUCACAGAUGUUUCUGAUUACUACUGAAACCCAACACAUUAUCUACAAACUUGUGCUGACAAUUCAUGUUAUGUGCAUGACACAAAUAACUAUUUCAGAUUCUGCCUUGACAGCAGGGUGUUUCAUUAUAAGCCAUAAUUGCAGUGUCAUUAUCUUUCCUGUUCUCACCUGUAGUUUGGGUUUCGUCAUCUCUCUAUGCUUCUCUUUUCCGCUCUGUCUCCUCACCCUCCAGUCGCAGCUGACAGCUGCCCCUCCUGAUUCUGCCAGAGGUCUCUUCCUGUUCUGGGCAAACAUUUCAACUAACCAUCAGCUGACCAACUUUUCUCAAAGUUUAUCUUGGUUGAUUUACAGUUCAAAAUAAAAGUUGUGCUGAUGUCAGAGAUGUGACCUUACAGCUGGCUCAGUGUCAUUUAAACCACUGCCUUGAUAACACUUGAUAUGUUAUUAUUCUAUUGAUUUGAGAAAAAAUAUUUUAAAAUGAGAGAAGAGUAAAAAUGCUAAGAAAUAAACAUAAAAGUCUGACUGA
Oreochromis aureus is the source of this 2783-nucleotide long non-coding RNA. RefSeq lists it as uncharacterized. The transcript has 2 exons. NCBI's taxonomy places the organism in Eukaryota, Metazoa, Chordata, Actinopteri, Cichliformes, Cichlidae. The record is from RefSeq and is a predicted model, not a curated record.